AUUGAACGCUGGCGGCAGGCCUAACACAUGCAAGUCGAGCGGAUGAAGGGAGCUUGCUCCUGGAUUCAGCGGCGGACGGGUGCGUAAUGCCUAUGAAUCUGCCUGGGAGUGGGGGAUAACGUCCGGAAACGGGCGCUAAUACCGCAUACGUCCUGAGGGAGAAAGUGGGGGAUCUUCGGACCUCACGCUCUCAGAUGAGCCUAGGUCGGAUUAGCUAGUUGGUGGGGUAAAGGCCUACCAAGGCGACGAUCCGUAACUGGUCUGAGAGGAUGAUCAGUCACACUGGAACUGAGACACGGUCCAGACUCCUACGGGAGGCAGCAGUGGGGAAUAUUGGACAAUGGGCGAAAGCCUGAUCCAGCCAUGCCGCGUGUGUGAAGAAGGUCUUCGGAUUGUAAAGCACUUUAAGUUGGGAGGAAGGGCAGUAAGUUAAUACCUUGGCGUUUUGACGUUACCAACAGAAGAAGCACCGGCUAACUCCGUG
RNAcentral lists this ribosomal RNA (484 nucleotides) under uncultured bacterium. Its description in RNAcentral is "partial 16S ribosomal RNA". It matches the Rfam family "Bacterial small subunit ribosomal RNA", at positions 30 to 507 of the family's 1533-position model. The record is from RNAcentral.